This is a long non-coding RNA of Anas platyrhynchos (mallard), 1035 nucleotides long. RefSeq lists it as uncharacterized. Lineage: Eukaryota; Metazoa; Chordata; Aves; Anseriformes; Anatidae. The record is from RefSeq and is a predicted model, not a curated record.
ACCACCGCAUCCCCCAGCCCCGAGGCCGGGGAGCCGCCAGGCGGCAGCGUGCAGCAAGGCACGGCUCUGCCGCCGCCCUGCGCCCUCCCAGGGAGGAGGAGGAUGGAGCCCGGCAGAAAAAAGGCUCUUCCUCCUGAAAAAUAAAAAAUGCGCUUUUAAUCCUCCCGAAGAAGCGCCCUGGGAAGCCCUGCGAACAAACAGGACGCCAAGGAACAAAGCAGGAGGCGCUGGCGCAGCGUUAUUAGCCUGGAUUAGCGAGGGGCGGCAGGAGCCACGCGGGGAAGGUGUGACUCCUCGUUAAGACUGCUCUACCGAAAGCUCCCGCUCUGCCUGCAGCCGCUGCCUCGAUGCCAGCCUAGUAGUUCUGAGCUGUGAUUUCAUAAUGUGAAAUCUCUUUAAAAAAUAAAACAGUAAAAAAUCUCUCCACCACUUCUUCUCUGAAGCCAAGGUCUGGCCAGGGGAUACCAGGGAAACUGGAGUGAAGAUAUGCCUGUUUGCUUUGAGGUAGGAAAGCCCUCUGCUGGUUAACAUAAACUAAUUAACACACUAAUCUGAAUGUUUUUAUAGAUAACAGAACCACACACACACACACAAAGGAGAGAGUGGUUAAGGAAGAGGCAGAGAAAAAUCAUCGGUGAUCUCAGAAAUUGUCAUUCUUCAGCUUAUUUACUAGACCCAUAAAUGCAAAGGGUAGAUUUUUUUAUUUUUUUUCCCCUCCUGUUUCUAACUUUAAACACUCUUUGGCUUACAAAAUACAUGCUUUAAUAAAUGUUAUUAGUUAUUUGCAAUAAUCAAGUGCAAAAAAGGAACUUCAGAACCCAGUGAGAUGCAUGGGCAGAUUUGAGCGCUCCAACACUGAAAAAGCAGUUUAUAUACACAUUAUAACCAGGUCUCAUGUUUGCCAUGCAAAACAAAGGAAACAAUUCCUUCCUAUAAUAUGCGUGCUGUUUGCACUCAUCUUUUUGUCUCAUGUCAUGUCUCUUUAAAACAUAUUUUAAAAUUAAUUCACAGCCAAAACAGUGAAAUUACUUGAUC